GUGAAUCAUCGAAUCUUUGAACGCACAUUGCGCCCUCUGGUAUUCCGGGGGGCAUGCCUGUUCGAGCGUCAUUACACCACUCAAGCCUAGCUUGGUAUUGGGAGGCAUCCUAGUUAGGGUGCCCCCGAAAAUUAGCGGCGGUGCAGCCGGAACUCUCAGCGCAGUAACUUUUAAUCUCGCUGUAGGAGUCCGUUUGUUCCGGCCGGAUAAUCAAUUGUCCUCGUGGCAGUUAACUUUUCAAUGGUUGACCUCGGAUCAGGUAGGGAUACCCGCUGAACUUAAGCAUAUCAAUAAGCGGAGGA
Molecule: unclassified non-coding RNA, 302 nt
Filed under: Exophiala sp.
Lineage: Eukaryota; Fungi; Ascomycota; Eurotiomycetes; Chaetothyriales; Herpotrichiellaceae
Description: partial contains 5.8S ribosomal RNA, internal transcribed spacer 2, and large subunit ribosomal RNA
Rfam family: 5.8S ribosomal RNA (bases 1-71)
Source: RNAcentral